AAUACGAACAAUAAAACGACUCAUAUAAAUCCCAAAUAUGGUGGGAUGUAUCUACCGGAAGCCAUAAAUUUUCGACUAUGAGUGAACUUAGUAUAUAC
RNAcentral lists this non-coding RNA (98 nucleotides) under Clostridium celatum. Its description in RNAcentral is "Guanine sequence". It matches the Rfam family "Purine riboswitch aptamer". From Rfam's summary of the family: Riboswitches are metabolite binding domains within certain messenger RNAs that serve as precision sensors for their corresponding targets. Allosteric rearrangement of mRNA structure is mediated by ligand binding, and this results in modulation of gene expression. RNAcentral also lists the same sequence under 1 other name. Lineage: Bacteria; Bacillati; Bacillota; Clostridia; Eubacteriales; Clostridiaceae. The record is from RNAcentral.